GUCCCCGGCGUCCGGGCGCCCUGCAUGGAUCCCCCACCCCAGCUCCUGCUCCCCGGCGGCGGCCGGUGGGCAGAAAGACCGAAACCCACUCACGGCCGCCUGCCGAAUCGCGGCUCUGCUGUUUGUGGGGCGUGCUAGAAACGUGGUCCUAAAAAGAAUGGCGUCCAUUUACAUAAUGCUUUGUUUGCGUUUCGCAAGUUUCUUUCGGUUAAAGCCACAGAAACCCCACCUCCUGCCCUUGUGUCGUUUCCACCGCGGCACCCUUUUCCGACAUUAGAAACAAUAGUGUACGCCUGUGGAGGCCUCGUUUGUUCAGGGGCUGCCGGCCAGGGCUUCAGGACGUUUCUGCGGCUUUCCCCGCGCGGCCUGGGCUCCCGCGGCUGCUUUUCGGGCCCAUGGGCGCAGCCACUGCGCCAGGCUCAAGGGGGGCGGCCCCGUCAGGGCCCGCCAUCUUGGAAGGCCUUUUUUGCCGGUUCUUCCCGCUGAGGAAGUGUCGCUCAAGACGCUGGCCUAUGAGUUGUGAUUUCUGCCUUUUCCCCUUCCUCCUUGGGCUAAGCCAGACCAGAAAGGGCCCCGUGCGCAACGUGCUUCACAAUCUCUCAGGGAAAGCGGCUAACGUGGCGCUACUCCGCCUCCCCUGUUCCUUACCCUUGGGGCGGCCGCCAUGUUUCCUGAACACAAAAUGGCGACACGUGGUUAGCAUUCGUCGCCAACGAGAAAUUGGGGUCGGCCCGAAAGCUCUAGAAUGCACCCCUCUUCCUCCCCGGGGCCUUCCACCUCCGCGAGUUUUAUGACUUAAAAAAGCCCACAGGCUGGUCUGAAGGUCGGAGGCCUAAUUUUAACGCGUUUUCCUCCCUUUAAUUUGAAACGGGAACGCGAAUGACUGUAAAAUGUGGGCACAAUAUUUAAUCUCUCGCCUUUUUAAAGCUUAAUAGUGGAUAAUAGGGGGGCAGUAUCAAGGGAUAAUUUGGGUCCCCACAGUACCAAAGCAUUUAGAAACCUCUGUUUAAUUUAAGGAAUGAGAUAAGUUACUGCUUUUCUAGACUUCCUAGCAUGGGCUGUUGUGCUGGAGAGAACGAGAGCUACGAAGAGACUACAGUGCCUCUGACUUUUUCAUAGGACAGUUGGCCGAGGAAGACAAACAUAAAGAUGAAGUGCUUAAUUCAAGGUCACACAAUGUCGGGGAUGGACCUCCAGAUUUCCUUACUGAGACGGAGUCUUGCUAUGUUGCCCAGGCUGGUCUUGAACUCCUCACCUCAAGCGAUCCUCCCGUCUUGGCCUCCCAAGUGUCAGGAUUACGGGCAUGUGCUAUCACACCCAACCUGAUACAUUGCCUUUAUAAAUUUUUUUUUCUUUAUUCUAAAAACCAGAAAAAACAAAACUGGAUACAUGUGCAGAACAUGCAGGUUUGUUACAUAGCUGUACGUGUGCCAUGGUGGUUUGCUGCACCUAUUGACCUAUCCUACCAAGUGUGUUGGGGACUUGAGAUGCGUACAUGAGUGUGAUGUUUCCUGCUGAAAGCACAGGGAGGAGGACCUGGUUGAUAGAAGAAUUUAUCUCGUAGUCUUAACAUCCACUGUAAUUCCAAACUUUGAGGACGAUAGAGAUCAGUGGGCUUUGACUGCCCAGCAUGCAGUCUCCAUUCUUAGGUGGGUUCCCAAGCCUGUAAAAUGUAAGCCUUAUGCUGCUGAGGGCCAUCUUGCCACCCUGAGGGAAACGCUGCCUGAGAAUGAAACAAGCAUAAGUAAAAGCUGAGCUGUGAGAUGGAGCAAGAUGAAGGCCACAUGACAUCUUUGGAGCACCUGGAUCUAACUGUGCCUUAAGCUAGUCUAACCCUGAACAUUUCAUCAUUUCAUUGACAUGAGCCCAGGUUUUCUUUUUUUUUGGAUGGAGUCUUGCUCUGUCGCCCAGGCUGGAGUGCAGUAGCUCAAUCUCGGCUCACUGCAAGCUCCACCUCCCGGGUUCACGCCAUUCUCCUGCCUUAGCCUCCCAAGUAGCUGGGACAACAGGCGCCCACCACCACUCCCAGCUAAUUUUUUGUAUUUUUAGUAGAGACGGGGUUUUACCAUGUUAGCCGGGAUGGUCUUGAUCUCCUGACCUCAUGAUCCGCCCGCCUCGGCCUCCCAAAGUGCUGGGAUUACAGGUGUGAGCCACUGCACCCAGCCCUCAGGUUUUCCCUUUUUUUACCCCUCCUUUUGAAAAUUUGAUGUGGAAUUUUGCCACCUGCAGCCAGAAGAGUUUUAACUAAUCAGUGCCAUAAAUUUUAUAUAGUUCUCCUUGCAAAAUGUGGAUCAGCCUUUCUCAGCAAAUCCUUUGUCAUAAAGUGCUGAAUUGUAAGUUUGUCAUGAGAAUCACAUGAGAUCAUGCAUGUGAAGAACCUGGCAUUAUCCUCCUCAUAGAAAAAAACCAGUAAAUAUUAACUACAGGAAGCAAGGAAGGAGUGGGGUGAGGGGAAGAAGAAGGGGUACUGAUUUAAAAGAACCCUGGAGUCCUAAGGAUAAUCUAGGAACCCUCAGACCCAAUCCGAUACCCCUAUUCUAAAUGCUCCUAGUGCCCUGUACCUUCCCCUCAUAAGCCUUCAUUAUCAUUGUAAUGAUAUGUUUAUGUAAUAUUUUGAUUAAUGUCUCUCCUUCACUGACCUAGCAGUUCUAGCAGGGCAGUGAUUUUGCUGUGUUGCAUCCCCAGCACCUAGUCUGGUAUGUGGCAUUCAGCAUAUGUUUAUUGAAUGAAUGGCCAUGUGGUUAUUCAGAUCCUCCUUGAUUAUUGGGGUUAGGAUUGUGGCAGAAGUGGCAAAAUCAGGGAGAGUAGUCCCUGUCCCCUCUGUAUCUUAUACACUGCCCACACUCCCAACACACAUACACAUACAGAGAAUUUUGUCUCAAUUAGAUAAUUAACUUCUGCUUGGUUGUAAACCAAACCACUGGUUCUUAAACUUUCAUUGGAUCAUUUUAUUGAAGAAUUAAAUAGUGUGGUUCUGGCCUAAUGUCUGGAAAGCCUUGCAGAGGAGUGGAUUAGGUCUUUGUGAUAAACAGGCAGCCUUCCCUGCUCCUGUGUCUUUAUAAAAUCUAUUUAACUGGAGUAGUCCACCCUCCCUCAGGCUCUUACAGGAAUAUGUUGGAGGCUGUAGGAAGGUGGGAAACCGAGAGGGAAAGGACUGGGCCGCUGGAGACUUCACUCAUUCCCUAGCAAGAAACAAAAGCAGUAAAAGGUGGCCCGAGGACAACCUGAAGCUCACUCCUUCAGCACUUUUGGCUGGAGGUCACUUGUUGGAGCCCCACUCAGAGCUCAGCACACCACCCCACCAGCAGCCUCCUCCUCCCAGCUGAGGCUGCAUUUCAUCCCUUCCCCCAGCCUGCUUUCCCUGAGAUAGGGGAGUGUUUCCCAGGGCCCAUGUGACUUCCACUGGCAAGUGACGAUUACCAAUGGUUUACUAGUCAGUGAAACUACCAAAGGCUUUUGUGCUGUAGUAAUCCUUUUCCUGUUUAAAACUCUGGGGAUUUUCUAAUGUUGCCAAUAGUUUUUCAAGUCAGCAAUUACUGUGUGGAUUAUGUAAUGGCUCGGUAUUAAAAAUAGAAAAGACUGGA
RNAcentral lists this long non-coding RNA (3584 nucleotides) under Homo sapiens (human). Its description in RNAcentral is "PCBP1 antisense RNA 1, transcript variant 10 (PCBP1-AS1)". Lineage: Eukaryota; Metazoa; Chordata; Mammalia; Primates; Hominidae. The record is from RNAcentral.